RNAcentral lists this ribosomal RNA (163 nucleotides) under Caropsis verticillatoinundata. RNAcentral's name for it is "5.8S ribosomal RNA". It matches the Rfam family "5.8S ribosomal RNA". From Rfam's summary of the family: 5.8S ribosomal RNA (5.8S rRNA) is a component of the large subunit of the eukaryotic ribosome. It is transcribed by RNA polymerase I as part of the 45S precursor that also contains 18S and 28S rRNA. The record is from RNAcentral. Lineage: Eukaryota; Viridiplantae; Streptophyta; Magnoliopsida; Apiales; Apiaceae.
AAACGACUCUCGGCAACGGAUAUCCCGGCUCUCGCAUCGAUGAAGAACGUAGCGAAAUGCGAUACUUGGUGUGAAUUGCAGAAUCCCGUGAACCAUCGAGUCUUUGAACGCAAGUUGCGCCUGAGGCCUCUAGGCCAAGGGCACGUCUGCCUGGGUGUCACGC